Molecule: long non-coding RNA, 527 nt
Filed under: Sitophilus oryzae (rice weevil)
Lineage: Eukaryota; Metazoa; Arthropoda; Insecta; Coleoptera; Curculionidae
Description: uncharacterized LOC115876940, transcript variant X2
Source: RNAcentral
AAGUUUACAUUCAUAACUCAUCUAACCAUUAUAGGUACAUUUUUAUCUUCUAGAUCAGUAAUGUCGUCAUAAUUUAAAUGAACUCACAGAUAGCAAUGGGGCACUGCACCGAAGCAGUAUUACAAAAUAUGUGAAAUAAAACUGUAAUACAAAUUGCUCUAUAAAAUUUAAUAGAAAUAAAUUUAUUUAUGAAAAUUAAGUUAUGAAGUUUUAUUUUUCCUAGGAAAAAAAUAACAUUUAUAUUUUGAUCAAUUUAGAACAUUACAGUUAAAAAAAUAUGUGUUAGAAUAACAUAUUUUUAAUAAAAUUGCAGCUUUUAAUUUUUAUACUUUUUUGCUUUUAUAUCAAUAAGAACUAACGUAAGGAACAAUUCAUAUUUAUACUAUGAAAACACAUGCAUAUUUUUUGAUGUUUUUAAAACCAGUGAAUGAUGUUGAAAUAUACUACACCUAUUAUUCUUAUUAACUAACUUUAAUUACAAACUUACACAUUAUUGUCAUUGGAAAUAAAUUAAUUUGGAUAUUCUA